RNAcentral lists this long non-coding RNA (222 nucleotides) under Elaeis guineensis (African oil palm). Its description in RNAcentral is "long non-coding RNA (EGUI_LNC049748)". The record is from RNAcentral. Lineage: Eukaryota; Viridiplantae; Streptophyta; Magnoliopsida; Arecales; Arecaceae.
GACCACCCAUGUUCACACCCUAGUCAACUCCACAAAAAUUCAAAAUUUAUGUGAAGUUUCUCCAUGGUAAUUCAAAGCUCUCAUCCCUUCUCCAUACCCUAAUGGAUGAGGAUAGAAUCUAGUUCAAUUAGAAUUUAAAUUAGAUUUGAAGUCAACUUGGAACUCGAUCUUUAUCCUAGUUCAAAUUUGAUUUGAACUAGGUCUUAUUCUCAUCUCCACGCC